RNAcentral lists this long non-coding RNA (2077 nucleotides) under Sus scrofa (pig). RNAcentral's name for it is "lncRNA (ENSSSCG00050041641.1)". The record is from RNAcentral. Lineage: Eukaryota; Metazoa; Chordata; Mammalia; Artiodactyla; Suidae.
GUGGAGUUGGUGGUGGGGAUCCAGGCCUGCACCGGCCACCACGCUGCCUGCAGCCACGGGGCGCGGGACGCGGCCGGUGCGACCGAGGCCCUCAAGCUCCUGUUUCUGUCGUGCUCUAGGGCAUCUGAGUCCAGGGAGCCCUGGCGGGCAGCGCUGAUGGGGAGGCCGCGUGCAGAGACCCAAAGGCCAAAACCCUUCCUCAUGAACACAAAGUGGCUUCGGGGGAGCUACCGAUCGUCAGAAAUUCAGUCUGCAUCUGAGAAACAGGGGCUGUCACUGGCCUGACCUGCGCCCAGGGUCCUGGACAGACCGAGGGAGCAGGGACUGUGGGGAGGCCAGGCAGCACCGCCUGAGCCUGGAAGGGGCUGUUCUCUGGGCUCUACAGUUUAGAAGGACUCAGGGGACCUGACACUUUACAGUUUACAAGGACUCAGGGCCCAUCUCUGCUGAGCCCCACCAAGAGCCUGGGAAGGCUGCGUGGUGCCUGCUUGCAGUGUGGUUGCCUAGGAAAGUCAGCUCCGAGCCACCACUGUCCCCGCGGCGCACAGGAGGGACACCAGGCUCCCGCUCAGCCAGAUGGCUGCGGCCCGGGCACCUGCUAAGUGCUGCCCGAGCAUCCUGAGCCACAAGCCUCGGGGGACCCUUGUGACCUCCCCUCUUUACAGCGGCUCCCCCGGCUCCACAGGGCCACACACGCCAGAGUCACCCCACUUUACACAGUGGGUACCCCCCCGGCUCCGCAGGGCCGCACACGCCAGAGUCACCCCACUUUACACAGCGGGUACCCCCCCGGCUCCGCAGGGCCGCACACGCCAGAGUCACCCCACUUUACACAGCGGGUACCCCCCCCAGCUCCACAGGGCCACACACGCCAGAGUCACACCACUUUACGCAGUGGGUCCCCCCAGCUCCACAGGGCCGCACACACCCAGAGUCACCCCACUUUACACAACAGGUCGCCCCGGCUCCGCAGGGCUACACACGUCCAGAGUUGCUUGGCUCUGGGGCAGUUUGAGCCUGGCCUCUGGCCCAGGCCAGCUUGCACUGUUGUCAUGCCUGCUGCACACGCUGUCCUGAAGGCUGGAGGUGGCAACUGGUCAGCUGACCUUCCUGCCAUGGAGCUGGGAUGUCAGGAGACUGCAGAGAGGGGGUGACUGGGUCCCCACGGAUUACAGAGCCUCUCAGGGUUCCACCCCUCUACUGCUCUGCGGCCCCAUCUGCUCAGGGAGAUGCCACAGGGAGCUGGGGGAGAGGCUGGGGUGUGCGGAGGGUCCGAGGGGCUGUGGCUCCCCAAGCCGUCACCCUGUAAUGCCAGGACCUGCAGGCCUGUGGACGCCCUGCUGGUUCACAGGGUGUGAUGGUCUGGGUUACGGGCCGGCUUGGCCAGGCUGUGGUCCCUGGGGGGUCAGAUGCCCACCUGGGUGUCGCCAUGGAGGUAUUUGGGGGACUGGGAGACGGGGUAGCCUCUACGAUCAGCUGACCCCGAGAAUGAGGGCCUCCACACGCGGUGGGCCUCGUCCAAUCAGGUGAGGGCCUCCAAACGGAGUUGGGAUUUUCCCCGAGGUGAAGAAAUUCUUCCUCAAACAGCAAGGUCAGCUCCUGCUGGAGGGUCCAGCCUGUACUAUGGGCUUGGGACUUGCAGAGCCACUUGUGGCCCCUGUGACCUCCCGGGGGCCGGAUUUGUGUUCUGGGCCGCUGUGAGCCACACCUUUUCCUGCCCACGGCCUGUCUAGGUCAGGUUUAUUCGAUGCAUCUGCCAUCUGAAGCUCAAGAUGCUUCUUGGUUUCUCGGCAGCGUGCACUCCCAGCUCCUUCUGUGGGUCAGCCCACGGCCGUCCUUCCUGGGGUGUCCUGUCCCCGCUGGCCAAGCUUCCCUCUGCCAGGUCCCUCCCUGGUCAACACAGGACUGGGCGGCCCCAGCCUCAUUCCGAUGUUCACAGCCACAAGGCAGGCCCCCCAUCACUGUUCCGCACCCGCGUUCCAGCCCCUCUCUGGUGCUUUGCUGUCUCUCCAAGGAAACCAGAGGCGGGACUGGCGCCCGAGCCUCCCUCACGUACUCCUGGUCAGUGGCCUGAGGG